AAAUAGAACUUUGCAGAGAGAGUUAACAGGGCGUGAAACCGUCAAUUGGCAAACGAAUCGGAGCCACGAAGUCGUUUCGUUAGUCUAGUUAAGUCGAGUUCAGUUUAAGAAUAACAAUUCUUAACCGUAUUCUUAUGUACUUAACCAGUCAUUGUAAGCGUACACUGCAACCAGUUAGACAAUUGGUUAUGGGCCCAGUUAGUUAGUUAAAUUAGUAGUAGCGUGGUUAAGUUUCGGCUUUUCUCGUGUUGCUGAAUUUAUAUUAAGUGAACUAUAACCAAAUACUGACUGGCAAAAUGAAAAUCGCUUCUUGUAAGCGUUAUAUAAAAGGCAAUAUAAUAUACAUAUGCUUACACACUCCACCAUUAGGUUUAAGCUCGGCAUUUUUGAAUUUAGACUUGCUUGCUACCAGUGGGGCAACUCCUGGUGCUUGGAUAGUUUCUAUCUAAUCGGGUGUCGACCUUGAUUUAAUGUCGUUUGGUUGUGCUACGAUCGAGUAUAAGUAUAAUAAUAUUUGCCAUUUUAAAUUGGCAGUGAGUAGGUCGGCUUUCCGAACGACCCGUCUUGAAACACGGACCAAGGAGUCUAAUUAGGCAUCAAGUCGAUCGGUCUUGAAUAGGCCAGACUAAGAGUAUACUUUUGAUUGAAGGCGUAGAGACAUGUGAUCUAGUGAACAAUAACAGUUUGCUGGCGCAACAUGUGCCUGUUCGUAUAGCAAUGUAGUAAUAAUGCUGAGCGGAGCAAAGAGAUGCUUGAUUGGUACCCGAAAGAUGGUGAUGCCUGGGCAAAUUGAAGCCAGAGGAAACUCUGGUGGAGGAUUGUAGCGAUUCUGACGUGCAAAUCGAUCGUCAGACCUGGGUAUAGGGGCGAAAGACUAAUCGAACCAUC
RNAcentral lists this ribosomal RNA (888 nucleotides) under Stenacis thunbergii. Its description in RNAcentral is "partial large subunit ribosomal RNA". It matches the Rfam family "Eukaryotic large subunit ribosomal RNA", at positions 366 to 944 of the family's 3401-position model. The record is from RNAcentral. Lineage: Eukaryota; Metazoa; Arthropoda; Arachnida; Trombidiformes; Eriophyidae.